AUGGCUGAUCUGAAGAGUCCUAUUAGACUGAGACUCUGAUGAAGAGUCCCACUGGAUUGGGACUCUAUCAUUAAUGAAGGAUUAAUUAGUGAUUAGGUCACUAAUUAGCUCAAUUUGAUUGAGCAUUAAAGUCUGGAUCAAGUCUGAUUGAAUUGGAUUCAAUCAGGUUAGAUCUAAUUAGGUUACGAGAUGACCUAACAGUAAGGAAGAAUUGAUCCUGAUUUAAUCGAGUCUAUGACUCAAUUAAUUCACUGAUUUGGUUAGAUUUAAUUGAAGUUAUGAAAUCAUAAUUAG
RNAcentral lists this long non-coding RNA (294 nucleotides) under Elaeis guineensis (African oil palm). Its description in RNAcentral is "long non-coding RNA (EGUI_LNC027959)". Lineage: Eukaryota; Viridiplantae; Streptophyta; Magnoliopsida; Arecales; Arecaceae. The record is from RNAcentral.